Molecule: long non-coding RNA, 733 nt
Filed under: Equus caballus (horse)
Lineage: Eukaryota; Metazoa; Chordata; Mammalia; Perissodactyla; Equidae
Description: lncRNA (ENSECAG00000059362.1)
Source: RNAcentral
UGGGAGGAUUUGGGGAGAAAAAGCAAUUAAAAAAACAACAGAAGAUUGGCAAGAGUUGUUAGCUCAGUGCACAAGGGUUCUUGAUUCUCCAUGUCCUCACCAACACUCGUUACUUCUCGUCUUUGUGAUAAUAGCCAUUCUAACAGGUCGGCAUAAAUAGAGACAGAGAGAACUAGAGAGCCAGCAAGAGACAACAGAGUCCUGACGUCUUUUCAGGGGUACGUUGUAUCCAUUUCUACAUUUCCAUAUCUUUUCUCUAGUUUAAGUGUUUUUCUUGAGCCACUUUAACUUUUUUUCUCCCCAAAUCCUCCCAGCACAUAGUUGUGUAUUUUUAGCUGUGGGUCCUUCUAGUUGUGGCAUGUGGGAUGUUGCCUCAACGUGGCCUGACCAGUGGUGCCAUGUCCGUGCCCAGGAUCCGAACCCGUGAAACCCUGGGCGGUGGAAGCGGAGCGGCGAACUUAAUCACUUGGCCACGGGGCGGCCCCUAAUUUUUCUAAAAAGUAGAGAUGGAAGGAGUCUCCUCUAUGCCCGUCCCAGUUGGGUUGGGGUUCACUUAAACUGGCCAGGGAUAAAGAACUCGCCAGGCCCCUGAGGGGUACUGAUGGUAACCCCUUUUUAAAUGGGAAAGCCUUACGAAAUCUAUAACGGGAACAAGAACGUGUUAACAGGGGUGUCUUCCCGGGUUUUUCUCCACGUGGCAGGUCAUUUCUACCCCAUAAAGUAGUUAGGUGAG